GCGGCGUGCUUAAUACAUGCAAGUCGAACGAGAAACCCCGACUUCGGUUGGGGGAGUAAAGUGGCGAACGGGUGAGUAACACGUGGAAAAUCUACCCUUGUGUCUGGGAUAAUCCUUCGAAAGGGGGUCUAAUACCGGAUAACAUCCCGAAGUGGCAUCACUUUGGGAUCAAAGGCGGGGCAACCUGCCGCGUGAGGAUGGUUCCGCGCUCCAUUAGCUUGUUGGUGAGGUAACGGCUCACCAAGGCUGCGAUGGAUAGCCGGCCUGAGAGGGCGAUCGGCCACACUGGGACUGAGAUACGGCCCAGACUCCUACGGGAGGCAGCAGUAGGGAAUAUUGCGCAAUGGACGCAAGUCUGACGCAGCAACGCCGCGUGGGUGAUGAAGCAUCUUGGUGUGUAAAACCCUGUCAGUGGGGAAGAAACGCAUGGGUAGUAACUGGCCUGUGCCUGACGGUACCCACAGAGGAAGUCCCGGCUAACUCCGUGCCAGCAGCCGCGGUAAUACGGGGGGGACGAGCGUUGUUCGGAUUUACUGGGCGUAAAGGGCGCGUAGGCGGACCUUCAAGUCGGGUGUGAAAUCUGUUGGCUUAACUGACAGCCUGCAUUCGAUACUGUUGGCCUUGAGUACAGGAGAGGAGAGCGGAAUUCCAGGUGUAGCGGUGAAAUGCGUAGAUAUCUGGAAGAACACCAGUAGCGAAGGCGGCUCUCUGGACUGAUACUGACGCUAAAGCGCGAAGGCUUGGGUAGCAAACAGGAUUAGAUACCCUGGUAGUCCAAGCGGUAAACGAUGGGUACUAGG
This 800-nucleotide ribosomal RNA is filed under the name uncultured bacterium. Its description in RNAcentral is "bacterial SSU rRNA". It matches the Rfam family "Bacterial small subunit ribosomal RNA", at positions 39 to 820 of the family's 1533-position model. The record is from RNAcentral.